This 236-nucleotide long non-coding RNA is filed under the name Lathyrus oleraceus (garden pea). RNAcentral's name for it is "Pisum sativum (pea) long non-coding RNA (PSAT_LNC039862)". The record is from RNAcentral. Lineage: Eukaryota; Viridiplantae; Streptophyta; Magnoliopsida; Fabales; Fabaceae.
UCAUUUCCACAAUUCAAUCAAAUUUCAUGGGCUUAAAAACAACAUUUUUGUUAUUCACACAAGUCAAUCAAAUUUCAUGGGUUUAACAUUAACAUUUCAUCAUUUCCACCAUUAAAUCAAAUUUCCUAGGUUUAACAACAACAUUUUCAUCAUGCACACAAUUCAAUUAAAUUUCAAGGGUUUAACAACAACAUUUCCAUAAUUCCCACAAUUCAAUCUAAUUUCAUGGGUUUAAC